This is a long non-coding RNA of Carassius carassius (crucian carp), 318 nucleotides long. RefSeq lists it as uncharacterized. Lineage: Eukaryota; Metazoa; Chordata; Actinopteri; Cypriniformes; Cyprinidae. The transcript has 3 exons. The record is from RefSeq and is a predicted model, not a curated record.
ACGGCACUCGCCAGGACCUUCACUCCCUUCCUGAAAAAAUAUCAGACAGAUGAGCCUGUGCUUCCAUUCCUUCCGAAGGACCUGACUGAGUUGAUGAUGAGUCUACUCAGACGCUUCAUAAAGAGAGAAGUCCUCCAUGAUAUCACUGCCCUGCAGCUGACCAAAUUGGAUGUCACAGACAAGACCAUCUGGCUCAGCCCACAAGACAUCAGCAUUGGUCUAGGUGCAGGGUCAGUCCUUAAGGGGAUGUCAUACUGCAGCACUUCGACAGUUUCCUAUCCUUGGAGAGCCGGAGUGAGGACUUCCUCUCCUUUCUUC